GGGGAUUUAGCUCAGUGGUAGAGCGCUUGCCUCGGAAGUGCAAGGCCCUGGGUUCGGUCCCCAGCUCCG
This 69-nucleotide transfer RNA is filed under the name Rattus norvegicus (Norway rat). It matches the Rfam family "tRNA". From Rfam's summary of the family: Transfer RNA (tRNA) molecules are approximately 80 nucleotides in length. Their secondary structure includes four short double-helical elements and three loops (D, anti-codon, and T loops). Lineage: Eukaryota; Metazoa; Chordata; Mammalia; Rodentia; Muridae. The record is from Rfam by way of RNAcentral.